Molecule: ribosomal RNA, 484 nt
Filed under: uncultured bacterium
Lineage: Bacteria
Description: partial 16S ribosomal RNA
Rfam family: Bacterial small subunit ribosomal RNA
Source: RNAcentral
ACUCAAAUGAAUUGACGGGGGCCCGCACAAGCAGCGGAGCGUGUGGAUUAAUUCGAUGCAACGCGAAGAACCUUACCCAGGCUUGACAUGCUACUGGUAGGGACCCGAAAGGGAACCGACCCGCAAGGGAGGUAGCACCGGUGCUGCAUGGCUGUCGUCAGCUCGUGCCGUGAGGUGUUGGGUUAAGUCCCGCAACGAGCGCAACCCCCGUCCCUAGUUGAUGUUUCUAGGGAGACUGCCGGGUGAACCCCGGAGGAAGGUGGGGAUGACGUCAAGUCCGCAUGGCCCUUACGUCUGGGGCUUCACACACGCUACAAUCGCCGGGACAGCGGGACGCGACUGCGCGAGCAGGAGCCAAUCCCCCAAAGCCGGCGCCAGUCCGGAUCGGAGGCUGCAACUCGCCUCCGUGAAGUCGGAGUUGCUAGUAACCGCGCGUCAGCAUAGUGCGGUGAAUGCGUUCCCGGGCCUUGUACACACCGCCCGU